Molecule: ribosomal RNA, 247 nt
Filed under: uncultured bacterium
Lineage: Bacteria
Description: partial 16S ribosomal RNA
Rfam family: Bacterial small subunit ribosomal RNA
Source: RNAcentral
CUGUACGAGUGGCGGACGGGGUGAGUAAAGCUUGGGAAUCUGUCUUAUGGAGGGGGAGUAACUACGGGAAACUGUAGCUAAUACCGCGUAACAUCUUCGGAUUAAAGUGUGGGCUCUUCGGACCACACGCCAUAAGUUGAGCCCAAGUGGGAUUAGGUAGUUGGUGGGGUAAAAGGCCUACCAAGCUGACGAUCUCUAGCUGGUCUGAGAGGAUGACCAGCCACACUGGAACUGAGACACGGUCCAG